Molecule: long non-coding RNA, 596 nt
Organism: Trichomycterus rosablanca
Lineage: Eukaryota; Metazoa; Chordata; Actinopteri; Siluriformes; Trichomycteridae
Exons: 3
Source: RefSeq, a predicted model, not a curated record
GGUUCCUUCUCCCAACGGCUGUUUUGAGAUCUCCUCACAGUAGUUUGAAGCUAUUUUUAUCUGGACUCAUUGCUGGUCACUUCUGAAUUCUACUGCGUUUUGUCUCGUAUGAUUUGUGUCACUGACCCAGCUUUUUCAUACUGGACCCUACAUUGUGCUCCAAAACUCUUUAGUAGUCUUCAGAUUUCAUGAAGCAAGGCACCCAGUGCGACAAGCAGCAAAGCAACCCCAAAACAUCUGACAUUCUUCCAGAAAAUUGUGGCAUCCUCAGCUUGUACUUAUUGGAAUGGUAUAGCUACUGCUGUGCUGACUCACCACUCAUGAAAUGAUCGUUUUUCAGAAGAACACUGUGUAUAUACAGUAGUUUAGUUACAAAUCCUCUUCAUGACAUCUCAUGUAUACAGUGUCCAGUCUUUAUGAAAGAUCUGUAAAUAAUACCUCAUAUCACGCUAAUAGGAAGAUACAGAUUUUUUGUCCAAUCAUGUUAAUAAAUACAUAAUGGUACUAAUGAUUCAUUUAGCAGAUAUGCUGUUGAAAUGAAUUAAUGUUUAAAUUUUAAACUGGAUGUAGUUUUAUGCCUUGUUGAAAAUCAUUGA